AGCAUAUCAAUAAGCGGAGGAAAAGAAAAUAACAAUGAUUCCCUCAGUAACGGCGAGCGAAGAGGGAUAAGCUCAAAUUUUAAAUCUGUUGGGUUCCACUUAACAGAGUUGUAUUUUGAAGAAACGUUUUCUGCGUCCAGGAUUAGCCUAAAUCCUUUGGGAUAAGGUAUCAUGGAGGGUGAGAAUCCCGUUCAUGGUUAAUCUUAAGGAAGCUCUACGAUACGUUUUCCAAGAGUCGAGUUGUUUGGGAUUGCAGCUCAAAAUGGGAGGUAAAUUUCUCCUAAGGCUAAAUAUUGGCGAGAGACCGAUAGCGAACAAGAACCGUGAGGGAAAGAUGAAAAGAACUUUGAAAAGAGAGUUAAACAGUACGUGAAAUUGUUGAAAGGGAAACGAUUGAAGUCAGUCAUACCAACGGGAAAUCAACCUUUUGAGCUCGGUCUCGUGGGUUUUGAAGAGUUUCAAAGCCUUCGGAUUCGCGGGAUUGGGAUCUCUCGGUGUACUUUUUCGUACGGUUAGUCAACAUCGGUUUUGAAUGUCAUAAAAUGACUGGAGGAAUGUAGCUUCGAUCUCGUAUUGAAGUGUUAUAGCCUUUGGUAGAUGUGAUGUUUGAGACCGAGGAUUGCAACGGAUACCCUUCAGGGCUAUUCGUCUGAUCUCUGAUACGUUGCCUUGAUGUUGAAAGCUUGCUUAUGAUGUUAGGGUAUUACGGUCAAAAGGUUAGAACGGAUUAGAUUCGUUAAGGAUGUUGACGUAAUGACUUUAAACGACCCGUCU
This 774-nucleotide ribosomal RNA is filed under the name uncultured fungus. RNAcentral's name for it is "eukaryotic LSU rRNA". It matches the Rfam family "Eukaryotic large subunit ribosomal RNA", at positions 37 to 654 of the family's 3401-position model. The record is from RNAcentral. Lineage: Eukaryota; Fungi.